GAUUUAGCGUUCCCCUCGCCUCCGGCCGCCGUCUGGGCACUGCGAGGUGGAGGGGGGGGGGGGCCUCAGUUUUGUGUACCCGAUCUUGCGGAUCUUGGGUUUCUGUAGUCGCAGAUCCAUUUAUACGUAUCUGCUGGGUUUUUGUUAGUGUGUCAUGGUGCUUUUUUUUGUUUAUCUUUUAUAAUUUUGGAAUCCUUCUCUGGCGUUCUGACGAAGAUCUUGCGGUUCAAGGACCUGCACCUUUAGGGGAUGAGUAGGCCUGGACGAAAAGAUCGAAGUUCGACAAUCUUAUUGAACGCUUGCUAACUCGGUUCGUUAAGGGCUCGGUUCGUUAACUAAAGAACCCAACAAGACUUCCCGGGUAGGGUCAUGGUGACACAACUCUAGUCGAGAUGACGAAGGCAAAGCCGGCAUAGUUACGUAUGCUGGCAUCGUAAAGUUAAACUAACACUAAGCCGGCAUCCUGGGCGUAUGCCGGCAUGGCUAUCUUGUUUUAUGAGUUUGCAGGAUAAGGACGAGCACUUUGAUCUCGGCGAUAGACGGGAUCUCUCAACGGUCUUAUCCUGACCACGCGGUGCGAAGUAAAGUAAAGCCAUCAUCAUCUCAAAGUCUCAAAGAAGCGGUCAGCGCCUGCGUACCGGUGUCAGGUGACCACGCUAGAG
Molecule: long non-coding RNA, 662 nt
Filed under: Brachypodium distachyon (stiff brome)
Lineage: Eukaryota; Viridiplantae; Streptophyta; Magnoliopsida; Poales; Poaceae
Description: long non-coding RNA (BDIS_LNC005464)
Source: RNAcentral